RNAcentral lists this long non-coding RNA (19385 nucleotides) under Capsicum annuum. Its description in RNAcentral is "long non-coding RNA (CANN_LNC016277)". Lineage: Eukaryota; Viridiplantae; Streptophyta; Magnoliopsida; Solanales; Solanaceae. The record is from RNAcentral.
UUUUUUUUUAUGGUUGUUGCUCCAAACAAUUCUAUUUUUAUUCCAUCAAUGACCUUAGGGUCCGGUAAAGUUAGCACAGACCGUAAAGUAAGAAAAAAUGACAUCGUCAUCUCUCGGUUGGUCAAAACAAUCCACGGAUGGACAAUUUAAAAUAAAUCGGUACAUAUAUUAGAAUGAUGAUGAAAUCAUUUCAAAUAAUCAUUAAUUAAAAAAAACUUGAUUAGAAUUGGCUUACUGCUUCCUUGGGUGGGGGUUGAAAAGAUCAAGAAAUUUUGCAUUUCUAUCGGUUUUGGCCGACAACCAUCUCAGGAUUCUUGGACAGGAAACUUCUUCCUAGUAGUUCACUUGUUAUCUCAAAUAAGGAAUAGCUUCAAAUGCCCAAGCAUAUAACAUAACGCCAAUAAAUGAAAAGCAUUAUUGAAUAAAAAAUGAUGAAUCAUAUCAUGAUAAAAUAAAUAUUUACCAUGAAGGCCCAUGGAAAGCCAUAUAAGUUGACUGUCUUUGGCGUUAAUGGAGUCAACAAAUAUUGGACAGUCAUUUUGAAGCUUUCAUAACCCCAAGGAUAGCUGUUAAAUGCCUCAAAAUCCUCGAAGAGAUUUAUUAAACCAACGUUUAUGUUGUCGUUAAUGUCUCUCGCCCAAAGAAUAUUAUGUACAAACCAAACCAAGCACAAUGAUUGCUUGUUCUUCUUUGAGAGUCCUUUACCUUUCAAUGCUUCUAUCAAAUUUUUGUUUUUGAAUCUUGGACCAACAAUCGACACUAGAUCAUCACGAUCACUCAAUUUUUCUUUGCCUUUUUUGGGUGUGCGGAGUGUUUUUUUCGAGUCAGAGUAGGUAUAACUUGAGAAGGAGAAGGAGGAUAACAUUUUAGUCCGGUAACUAUGGCAAACUCCUUCCAAUCAAAACAAACAGGCAUGCCAUAAUAAUUUAUCCAUACCUCAUCCAUCUUGUCUUUGUUUUCAUACAUAAACCUACGCUUGAGAAGAUCAUAUACCAUUUUUAUCUGGAAAAGAGCAUUGUUGUCCUUCGGCAAAUCAGGAUAUUUCCCAAAGUAGCUUUCUCUGAAAUAAGCAUCCAAUUUUUGUUCUCAAAGUAUUUUUCUAAAGGCGUCGAAAGAUUUUCCCAUGGCUGAAUUAAUCACAAAAUCACCUGUGGCACCAUCGCACUGUAUUCUCACAGGAUAGCAAUCAAUGCUAAAGGUUUUGACCAACUCUUCCGCGGAAGGGCUAUUAGCAUUUGUAUCAUCUCUUUUGAGACAUUCCUCUUCCCCGUGUUCAUUAUCUUCUAUUCCUAAUUGAGAUAAUGCUUGUAAAGCAAGCUUAUAGAGUGGUGGAUGUAGCCGAGCUUCUGGAUUUGUUCGUUUACUUGGACUUGAUUCGAUUUCUUUUCUUUUGGGAGCCAUAUUAUCUUAAAUUAUUAGAAACAUAAAAUAGAUUAUAAUUGAUUAAUGCAUCAUUAAAAAGGGAUAACAGUAAAUCUAACAUACACAAUGGUAAGGUAAAAUAGCAGUUCCAACAGAUCACACAUCUGUUGCACUAGGUAUGUUAUCUGUUGCAACAUAUAAUCGAUCUAUUGCAAUGGAUGUGUAAACCAUUGAAAAUAAUAAAAAAGAUCUCUAAUCUAUUGCACUAGGUAGUUUAUCUAUUGCAACAUAUAACUAACCUGUUGCAAGGAUGAGUAAUCCAUUGGAAACAGUAAAAAUAGAUCAUUAAUUUGUUGCACCAGGCAGUUUAUCUAUUGUGAUAUAUAACCAACCUAUUGUAACGGAUGAGUAAUUCGUUGGAAACAGUAAAAACAGAUCACACAUUGGUUGCACCAGGUAUGUUAUCUGUUGCAAUAUAUAACUAACCUAUUGCAACGGAUGAGUAAACCGUUGGAAACAAUAAAAAUAAAUCACUAAUCUAUUGCACCAGGUAGUUAUCUGUUUCAACAUAUAACCAACCUGUUGUAAUGGAUGAGUAAUCUGUUGGAAACCAUAAAAACAGAUCACUAAUUUCUUCAACCAAGUAUGUUAUCUAUCGCAACAGAUAACUGGCCUAUUGCGAUGGAUGAGUAAACCAUUGGAAACAUUAUAAAAUAAAUCACUGAUCUGUUGAAACAUAUCACUCAUCUGUUGCAAAAUGAGUUAUCUGUUGGACCAAUAUUGUUUAGAUUUCUUCCAAACAGAAGAGUUGUCUAUCACAACAGAUGAAUGAUAUGUUAGAUUGUUCAUCUGUUGCAUCAAAUUUUCAUUAUUGCAUUAGAUAUUUUCAUCUGCUGCAUCAGAUGUUUCAUAUGUUGCAACACCAUUUUUACCAAGACAAACAACAAAUCAAUCUAGCAACACCAACACAUCAUACACACAUACACACAUUAAGAAGAAGAAAUAUCAGAAAUUGGGGUUUUAUUCAGUCCACAUUUCAAUACUAGAAGAGUAGUUGGCUCAAGUUUCUCUGUUUCUUCAUAAUUUUUUACCUGUGAAAAAAAUGAGAUGAUGAAGAAAAAAAAAUGAGAUGAUGAAGAACUCAAAGUUGUUGUCGUCGAAGAAGUCUUCACGUCUAUUGACGGUUGAAAGUCAAAAGAAAACUUGCCCUACUAUUUUUCACCGGAGGUUGAAGUCGUCGGGGAUUGAAGGAAGAAUUUUGCAGAACUGUUGGUUGGAAGAGAGUUGAGAGAGGUUGUUGAGAGAGAGAGAGAGAGAGAGGAGAGAGACUGGUUGAUUUAGAUUGAAGAGGGGUGUGGGUUGAUUUGUAUUUUUGAAAAGAUUAGAAAGUUUUAAAAAAAUAUUAAUCAAGUCCAUCAUUAACUUAAUCAAGUUUCCUAAUAAUGUUUGACCCUUUAAGUUGGUCAAUGUCAUCAAUCCUUCAUUCAAGACUUAAAAGACACCUUUCCUUCAAUUUUCUCAAGUAACUUAAAGUAGUCAUAUUCCGAAAUUAUUUAUCAAGUUUUGCCAAACAUUGAAGGUAAGAUAAUUGAUAUUUUGCUGCAUCCUUUUUCUCAAAUAAUUUAUCUUAUCACAGGACAUAAUUUAUAAUAAAAUAUGAAAACUCAUUAGACAAGAUAAUGCCUACUCACUAAAUCUUUUCAGUCAUGGUUGAAACAAUUGGUUUAAUUUUCAAAAGAAAGUUAGUCCAACUAUAAAGGAGACUUCCAAGAAAACAACGAAAUCAAUCACUAAUUAAGCUUCAUAUCAUUCAAUUAAACAAAUACAGGGACAUAUUCUUAGGAAUACAAAUCUUGUAAGAAUUUAUCAAGUUCUGGAAUACUAAACUAUGAUCCAUACUCAAGCUUGUAGACUAAACACAUAAACAAACCUUGUUAUUUUUAUUUCAACAGGAACACCAGUUUAUACACAGACAAAGAAAGAUCAAAAUUUACAGGUACUCAAAUAGAUAGGCAAACCAACAUGCUUCACUUAUUAACCCAAAAAUAUGUGUGAAAAAUAUGUCACAUGCUUUUACACACAUGAUAAACUUAGCACCAUCGAAAGGAUAUAAUAUGUCUAAACACAUAGUCAAACACUGAAGUAGCCGUUAUUUAUAAGGAGAAAGCAAUGGCUUCAUGUCUAGGCAUAAAUGAAAAAUAAAUUUCUUUAACUACUAGGAGGAAACUGCAUUUCUAUUUUUUUUCUAAAAAAGAAAAUCUCUUGGGAAACAAGAUUCUUACUAAUGGUUUCAGUAAAAGAACUAAAGAGUGUAACAUUCUGAUUUAAAGUUUCCUAAAAAUACUCUACACAAGGAUGAUAACAUUAAUACUCCACAGAACACAUGUACUCAUCCUUUCCUUUCUCUAACCCUCUUUUCUUUAAAGAAACUAUGAAGGUUCAAGCUAAUCUUGAUUCACACAUAAUAAUCUGUCAAGAAUCUUAUAUCCAGACCAAAUCAAAAGCCAAGUAAUUAGGAUGACGAGAAAGGAAAUGCUAACUAAAUUAUUUGGGGAUUACACAUUCCCAAAAAAGAAAUCAAAAAAAAAAAAAAACAAGAGAGGGGAAACAAAUUUAAUGAAAAUAUUUGCCAUAGAAGCUCCAAAUCGUGAUUCCGGACGACACAAUCAAUGAAGCUUAAGCUAUGAUUAAUAAAGAAUAUUAUUUAGCUACUAUUCAGGGUCAUGUUUUAGCCAAAGGAUAAGAGCAUGAUGCUUGUAUUCGAGUAUAUGGGCAAUAAAUUAGACAAUACUUAAAAUAUAAUUCCUAUGAUGCCGAGAAAGCAGCUUUUGAUAUUACUAUUUUACAGCAUCUAGAUAAAAUAACACCACAAGACACUAACAUUAUAUCACAUUAUGCAUACGAGGGUAACAUUCUCAAACUUAAUAAAGUGAAGGAGGAGUUGCGGAUGUACUAGGGGUGACGAAUCCAUUGGAAUCAUCUGGAGUACCCAUUCACAAAAACAAAUAGGGAGAUUAGUGAAGCACUCAAGUAAAGUAACCUUGGGUAAACAAAGUAAUUAAUCAUUUUAAGACUCGAUGAUAUACUAGACUGUAAAUCCUAAUAGUCCACCGAAAAGUUAAAGACUAAAUGAAAGAUGAUAAAAUAAGAGAAAAGCCUUUACAUACAGCUAUGUUCAAAAAUUUAAUUAAAUACAUAUAAAACAUAACCAAGAUUUUAAACAAAGAACUUGAGAAACAAUAAGCAAAUCCCCUGCUUGCCAUGCCCCCAAGACUAAAAAGCUAGUGUUUAACAGGUUUCAUUUUUAUAACUUCCCUAUAUCUACAUAAAAAUGAUGAGAAAAAUUAAAUCAAGAGUUUCAUCCAUGUUCUUCAAAAAGGUAAAGGAAUAGCAUGAACAUCGAGAGAACACCGGAACAUAAUUUCAAAUAACGAAUAUAGGGAGGGAUGGACACCGAAUGUUGAACUUGAAAAUAGGUCAAGGACACACUGUUUUCGGACCAAUUACGAGUAAAAAACUGAGAAAAUCUCAACCCCAUUCAAACUUGAACCCAAAAUUAGAUUAAGAUUAGUUUUAUGAAAGAAAAUCAUAUAAAUGGUGGAGGGAAACAUUAAUUUAAGCACUUAGAGGGAAGGACGGGAGUUUGCUAUGACGUGUUCCUCUCUUAUCCCAUUACAUGAUCACGUCUUUGUCUUGUACCUCCUUUAGAAAUCCAAAGCUAAACAAUGAUAGAAAAAAAGCCAUAACUGGAAAGUACAGGAAAGGAAAAAAUUAUUAAAUGUUUGGAGAUGGGGAGAAAGCAGAAGAUGGUUGUUGACACCUAAUUUUGGAUCUCUUUUUCAUAUAAUUAAUUUUUCUAUGCUUCUUAGUCCUGGAUACUUUAUCAAAAUGACGUUUCCUAUUCUUCAUAUUAAUUUUAGUAAAUUUGACAUAAACAAAAUAAUUUUUCUUUUGCUCUUUUAAUCUUAUAUAUACAUAUAUAUAUAUAUAUAUAUAUAUAUGUACAUAUAUAUAUGCAUAUAUAUAUAUAUAUACAUAUAUAUAUGCAUAUAUAUAUGUGUGUAUAUAUAUAUACAUAUCGUACAAACGUUAUAUGUAUAUCGCAAUAAAUAUUUAAAUAUUAGUUUGCUAACUUUUACUUUAAAUUCUAAACGAAUUUUGUCGUAUUGUUAUAUUAUUUCCUAAAUAUAGUUAUGUUUGUUUAAAUUUAUAUGUGUACAUAUAUAACCAGUACAUUAUGAAAAUUAAUUAGGACGAGAGAAGCAUCGUUAAAUUAAUUAAGUGAAAGUGACUUGAUUAAAUUAAAUUUUUCACAAACAUAUUCCUUAUUCACAAUAAUAUUUGGGCCAUUUUCUCUAUUUUUUCAGUCAAAGUAGCAACCCAACGAAAAAUAACUCUUAGUCCAAUUUAAAAAAUCCAAGCACCAGCCCGAAACCCCAAAUUGACCCGACCCACCUUACAAUUCUCCCCUUUAAUCGAUUAACUCUUUGUUUGGAUAGUGGUUUGUCAUGGUUUCAUAGUACGGUGCUGUAUGAUAUGGUAUAGUACGGUACAGUAUAGUACAAUAUGGAUAGACUGUAUCAUUCACUGCUUUUGAUGACAGUUUUAUUAUUUAAUUUGACAGUAUGGUACUGUAUUGUAACUGCUAAAGUUUACUAAAAUGCCCUUAAUCAUUAUAAAUGUUAAAUUUAUCAAUAAUUGUUAAUAAAAUAAUUUUCUUCCUACUAUUUUAUCAUAAUUAUGCCAUGCAGAUAUAUUAAGUUGUUAAAUUUAUGUAAAUUCUAACAAAGUCAAUAAAAUAGUAGAUCAAAUAAAUAUAAUCGGAUUUAUUUUUUAUAGUAACAAAUUUCAUUUCUUUUUGGUGUUUCGAGACGAGACACCGACGACAAGUACAAAGUUUGAAUGCAUAUUUUGUGUAUGCUAUGGAUGUGUUUGGUAAUGAAAUCCAAAAAAAAAAAAAUUCAAGAAAUUAAAUUGUUUCUUACUUAUUUUCUUGUGUUCGUAACACAAAGAAAAAAAAUUCUAAAAGCAUUUGUAUAUAUUUAACACAAAAUAAUAAAAACGAAAAUGAUAAAGCGUAGCGGGGUUAAAAAAUAAUUCUUCUAAAAAAGUAUUUAGGAGUGGGAGUAGUGGAGUAGGGGGUGGGAUAGGGGUGGGGGUGGGGGUAAAAGAAAGUUUUAAUUUUUUUUAAAAAAAUUAAUUAAAAAAUUAAUUCUUUNNNNNNNNNNNNNNNNNNNNNNNNNNNNNNNNNNNNNNNNNNNNNNNNNNNNNNNNNNNNNNNNNNNNNNNNNNNNNNNNNNNNNNNNNNNNNNNNNNNNNNNNNNNNNNNNNNNNNNNNNNNNNNNNNNNNNNNNNNNNNNNNNNNNNNNNNNNNNNNNNNNNNNNNNNNNNNNNNNNNNNNNNNNNNNNNNNNNNNNNNNNNNNNNNNNNNNNNNNNNNNNNNNNNNNNNNNNNNNNNNNNNNNNNNNNNNNNNNNNNNNNNNNNNNNNNNNNNNNNNNNNNNNNNNNNNNNNNNNNNNNNNNNNNNNNNNNNNNNNNNNNNNNNNNNNNNNNNNNNNNNNNNNNNNNNNNNNNNNNNNNNNNNNNNNNNNNNNNNNNNNNNNNNNNNNNNNNNNNNNNNNNNNNNNNNNNNNNNNNNNNNNNNNNNNNNNNNNNNNNNNNNNNNNNNNNNNNNNNNNNNNNNNNNNNNNNNNNNNNNNNNNNNNNNNNCAAACAUUUUAUUCCAAUUGGGCCUUUUUUGCCUAUGUGGCACUGCGCGUGCAGUGUCAUCGUGGGAGGCGCGUGAGGAGCAUAUUUUUUAAUACUAAUUUACGAAUAAAAAGAUGUCAAGUGGCAUUGAGGGCCCUAAAAAUUUUUUAAUAACAAUUUUUUAUCUUUUUAAACACUAAAGGCCCCAAAAAACUUUUUAAUAAAACAAAAAGCGUUAGAGGGCCCCCAAUUUUUUUUUAAUAAAACAAAAUUUAAAAAAAAAAAGCCUCCCCCAAAACCCCCCACCCAUCUGAUACCCCUAGCCUCAUUUUUUUUUCUCUCCAUUUCAUCUUCUUCACCAUUCUUCUUUUUCAUUCUAUUUUUUUUUGCUAAACUUAAUUCUCAUACCAUUUUUUCUACUUUUUCUCCUUUCUUGUUCUUACUUUUGAAUUUGAUUUAAAAUUUUUUUGUUGUUAUUCUUAUUCUUUUCCGCCAUUAGAGCGCUGGAAAAAAUGAAAGUUCACCGAAAAAAAUGAAAGUUUGCUACAUUUAAAUUGUUGGAUUUUCAACAUAUUAUUCAUCGUUUCAUAUCCCCACCCCACUUCGCGUCUUCAUCGUUUCAUAGUACCCCACUCCGCCUCAUUGCUGUUAUUUUGUUGAUAUGAAUAUGGUGAAAACUAAUUAUCAAGCUAAGAAGAAAAUUAAGAUUUUUUCUUUUAAUGUGAAUAUGUUUUUGUUGUGCUGUGCAUUAGUGUAAAAUUUGAGAAAUUAUAAAAUUAUUUCACGAAGAAGAAGAGGAACGUUCGGAGUUUCUAAAAGAUAUUAUAAUUUUUUUUAAUAAUUAGUUUUUAAUUUUUAUUUUAUAAAUAAUUUUAUAAUUAUUUUUUAAUAAUUUGGAUCCUCAAUGCUAUUUUUUAUUUUCAUUUUUAAAAAUAUUUAUAAUUUUUUAAUAAUUAAUUUUUUUAAAAAAUAAUUUUUUAAAAAUUUAUAAUUUUUUUUAAAUAAUAAGUUUUUUAUUUUUAUUUUAAAAAUAAUUUUAGAAUUAUUUUUUAAUAAUCCCCUCAAUGCUAUUUUUAUAUACUUUUUUUAAAAAAUUAUAUAAUUAAUUUUUAAUAAUUAUUGAAUCCACAAUGGCACGUGUCAGCUUCCAAUUAGCUCGUUUUGCUACGUCAUCGCGUAUGUGCAACACACUUUGCGCUUUUUGCUCAUAGAAAAAAAAAGGCCUAAUUGAAACAAAAUAUGGGAGUUUAAAGGUCUAAUAGGAACAAAUCUUAAUUUGAAUAUUUAAGUAAAUUUUGAUAACAAAUUUAAAUUAUUAACGAUAUCUUUGACCUACUCUUAAUAACUAUACCAAAUCAUACCAUGCCAAACCACCAUCCAAACAGAUGGUAAAACAACAACAACCGUGGUACAAGGCAACAGUGUCACAACCCAACAACGCCGACACAGUAAAAAAAACACCAAUAAUAAUCUUUGGACCGACGGACAAGCAUAAAUCCGUUGGGUCAUCUCCUUUUACCUUUCUGUUUUACCUCCAUCAACAUCACCUGCGCCCUGUCACUUUGUUUGCAAGCCCAAGGCUCUUCAAAUUCAGGGAAAAAAUGGGAAGAUUUGAGUAUCCAUCAGCUUCAAGGUGCUUUCGCCUUUGAUUCGAUGGCUACGAAGCUUAAACCGACGGAUCUAAGCCUCUCCUCCAAACCGUCACUUUUUCAAAAUUCAAAUUUUGAAUUUUUCUUAUAAGCUUCUCCAAGGAGUUGUUACCCAUCCGGUUCCUCAAUAAAAUAUGGUGGAAGUAGUAGCAAAUUGGGGGGAAUUUUCUUGAGCCUACCAUACUUUUUCACUCAGUUUUGUCUAUUUACAGCUUUUACACUUCCCUUACUCUCAUCGCUUUAUAUCAUUUGUAUUCGAAGUUCGAGUUCGAAUCGCCGAUAAGAACGUUCCAGUUCGCUGCCCCACACAAGGUAAUUCUAUCCCGUCUAGUUAAAUUGUAUUUAGUUUUGCGAUUCUCUUACAGUUUGGGUUUGGUCGAUAGAUUGUGGAUAGGAAUAUGAAGUAAAUGAUGUGUGGAUGCUCGAGUUUGUUCACGUUAGGCAGUGUGUUUGUAAAAUGUUCAUAAUUUGUAAUCUAGCUUGAAUAAAACUUAUGAACUUUGAAUUUUCAAAAUGAAUUGGGUGUUUUGUCUCAUUCUCUCCUAACAUGAACUAGAAAUAAUUUCUACUGCAUUGUUCGAUUUCUCAUAUAUUUGGUUGUAUGCUUAUAGACUCUUCACAAUCUUGAGCCAUCCCGGAACAAACUCCGUAAAGCCGUGAGUUCUUUCGAUUCAUCCUGUGGACUAUUUGAGGUCGUUUGUUGUCAGUUUCAUCGUUAUCUUUUAAUGUGGUAAUGGUGUACUAUGUAUGUGUAUAAUUGUGAACUAUAUCUCAUCCAUAUAUAUUUUUAGAUAGAUAAAUAUCCACCCUCUGAUUCAACCAUGUAAAAAUGAAUGUAGAACAUGGACUUUUUUUGGUCUGUGAUGGACAUCUCAUUGGAUUAGUAUAUUGCUUUGAGUUUAUCUUCAUGUUGGCCGAUUUAAUGUUGCAAUAGUGAUGAGAUGCAUUCCUGUUUGGUUUGCGUGUCCAUAAGACCCCGACAACCUUAAUUUUGUCCAAAAAAUGUUUGAAUAACUUAGAACUUUACAUAUUCUUGGUUGUUGAAAUGAAAUCCUCGUAACUUUUGCUCGAAAGCUGAAUAAGGCAUCAUUUUAGGAUAGUCAUUUACUUAACAGUGACCUUUAACUUGCAACUUAGCAUGAAAAACAGGUUCUACAAGCCUUAAAAUUCUGAAAAGUAUUUUCCUGUAUAUGGAGUUCUCUGUUUUGGUUAACUCGGGUAUUAGAGAUGAUUAGAGAGGCUUGAUUAAUUUGGUCCCGAAAUGUAUAUAUUUAUUCCCAAAACCCCAUUCUUGCUUGCAUUAACCUUUUCGAAAUGGUGAAUGUUGUCGUUUGAAGAUUUGCGGGGCAUGGUUCUUUGGGUAACUAAGUUUGACUUAUGCAAAAAUGGAUAUGUUUCAUCUUUGGAAACUUUGGACAUAUAUAUGCGUAGGCUAUGUAUUAGAAUCUCGCAAGUUCAUAGAUAUAGCUAUCAUUGUUAAGAAAUACUCAUGCUAAAAUGUGAACGUCAUAUCUGCUAUAGAAAUCAUGUUGUUAGGAAUUCUUUUGGCUGAGUAUUGACUAAUUAAUUCAGAUCGUUUGGGUAGGUUUGCUAGAGCAAAUGUUGAUCGUGAUUUAAUGAUUAUCCGGUUUUGAUUUUGGCAAUGAUUCCCCUGCUUUAGAAAUACUUUAGAAGUCAUGUUUAAGUUUUUUUUUGUUAUUUGUAUUUGCUAUGUUUUUUUUGGUAAAAUGCUUCCCUAGCGAGAAUUAUCGUGAGACUAAUAUGUGGACUUGUUUUUGCAUAGAAACUGAUUUGGCCUUCCACUUCUUUAACUUUAUAUGCCGAGAAUCAAUAAUUAUGGUUGUUACUGGAGUAGUUCCUAUUUUUUUUAGGAAUACUUCAUCAAGUGAGACUAAUUACAUAAUCUAGUUCGUUCCAUCUAAAUUCUUUCACAUGUUUUGACAUUAUAAGUCAAAAUUUAAGAAUGUUCUCUUACUAGUCUAAAUAGUACUUGAAAUUUUCGAUAUAUCAUUUGCCUGUCGACGUUCAAUCAGAGAAUGCACCCCGAUUAUGUGUAUUUUUACUCUACAACAACAUUAGUAUUAUUUGUCUUGCUAAUCUUUAUUCCUAUUUUCCUCUUUUGCAUGUACACUUCGGGAGCAUAAUGGAGUUUUUAUAAGGGACUUCCAUUGCUGCAAAGAGUCUUGUUUUGAGACUCGACACUCUUGCUAGAUCGAGAAUACAUUGCUAUUCCCUAUUAAUUCUGCUCGCUCCUUCAAAGUCCAUCCGAACAAAAAGGAAAGAGGAACAAAGAAAAGUGGCAAGCCUUCUGCCACAACUCUUCUUACUCUAAUUGCUUGCAAUUUUUCUUUCAAACCUGUCUUUUAUGAAUAUUUUGUUAUUUUAGUAUGUAUUCGGGUACAAGAAUCUUUAUACAUGCAACACAAAUUUCAACUCUAGUUCGAGUCUAAGACAAGAACACUUAUGAAGUUACCUAACACCUUCAACACUAGAUUAUGAAUAAUCUAUCUAACAAGUGUGUUUAUUUUCAGAAAGGAGAUGAAAUAGAAUUUUAAGGUCAAGUCCCCCAACUUUACGGAGUGGUCUUAAGGAAUAAUUUUUCUCACUGUACCCGAGGUUACAGAAUUUUCCUCCCAGGAUAAAAUGGUCUUCAAUCCGAACAAUAAUGGUACCUCAUAUUAUUGGAUUCAAUGAACUCACUCAACGAUUUGAUUGAUCACACAAUGUUUUUGAAGACAAGAAGAGAGUUUGUAUUUUAGAAAAUUCGUACCAAAACCUAUGGAUAAAUACAGGUUUAUAUAGCUAUCGGGUGUCCCUUUCGAAAGAUGGCAAUGGUUCAUUCGAAAAGAUGUAUCCUUUGGAAGAGUCAUGUCUGUUCAUUCUAAACAUUGUGUUUUUUUUUAACAAACACAGUUAUCUAAACAAUCACUUCUUUUUCAAAGCACUGUGUCUUUCAUAAAAUGUUGUGUCUCUCCAUUUUGCAUUCACACCAAUUGAACCCAAUAAUCCCCCACAUGAAUGGGGAAUGACUAUUUUUUGUAAAACUUUACGGACGAAUAUGUGAUCAUCAAGCAAAGAAUGAUUGCAUCUGGAUAAGUGGGUUUCCCUUUGAACUUUCCGUAGUAAAUAUGCAUUAGAUGCACUCGGUCGAUUGGUAGAUUUGAUAUCUUUGAACCGUCGAGCUUUAAUGUAUACCUAGACAACACAAGUCACACAACCAUCCAUUUACCAUUUAUGGUUCUCACGGUUUUGUUCUUUUCAGCUAUGAACACGUUCCGGUUUCAUGAGAGCUUAGAGAAUAGGCCUUUACUAACAUUCUCCUUGAAGCGGCUUCCACUUCGCCCUCACAUAGGUGAUUUCUAAACGUUCAAUCCUAUAGAUUAAACUAUUUGGUCAAAUCUGCCAAAUUUAGAUAAUCAUUAAAAGACUUCACACCAUAAGUCUUAUCCUCAUUUACUAAACAUUGUCUACAUUAUGAGAAUAGGUUGGGUAUUUUACAAUGUUGAACUUGUUAGACACAACUUUGUUUGAUCUCCUUGAACUUAGCUCUUGGGAUCUCCGGUCUGCUGGGUAGAGUUACCGUCAUGCUAACUUGUCUUACGCCUUAAACCCAUUCCCUUGGAUGUUCUUUCAACUUCUUCUCUAGAUAGGCCUUUUGUAAGUGGAUCCGACACAUUAUCCUUUGACUUCACAUAGUCUACAGUGAUAAUUCCACUAGAGAGAAGUUCUCUAACGGUAUUAUGUCUCCGUUUUAUAUGACGAAAUUUACCGUUGUACAUCAUGCUCCCUGCCCUACCUAUUGCCGCUUGGCUAUCACAGUGUAUACAUACUGGUGCCAUUGGUUUGGGCCAGUAAGGAGUAUCUUCUAAGAAAUUUUAGAGCCAUUCUGCUUCUUCAUCGGCUAUAUCCAAUGCGAUAAAUUCAGAUUUCAUUUAGAGCGAGCAAUACAAGUCUGUUUGGAUGAUUUCCAAAAGACCGCUCCUCUAGAUAUAGUAAAUACAUAUCCACUCAUAGAUUUUACUUUGUUUGAUCCAGUGAUCUAAUUUGCAUUAUUAUAUCCUUCAAGUACCACAGGAUAUUUAUUAUAAUGCAAAGUGUAGUCUUGAGUGUAUUUAAGAUACCCCAAAACUCUUUUCAUUGCCAUCUAAUGAGUUUUAUUAGGAUUACUCGUGUACCGACUCAACUUACUAAUAACUCAUGUUAUGUCUGGUCAUGUAGAGUUCAUUAUAGACAUUAAACAUCCCAAUACUCUUGUGUACUCCAAUUGUGAGUUACUUUCACCUUCAUUCUUUCGAAGUUCAAAGCUCGCAUCUAAUGGAGUCUUGGCAAUACCAAAUUUCAUAUACUUGAAUUUGUUAAGUACUUUUUCGAUGUAAUGAGACUGUGACAAUGCCAACCCUUAUGGAGUUCUAUGAAUUCUUAUCUCUAAGAUCAUAUCCGCAACUCCAAGGUCUUUCAUAUCGAACUUGCUCUCGAGCAUUUGUUUUGUUGCAUUUAUAUCAGAAAUGUCUCUACUGAUGAUCAACAUAUCAUCCACAUAUAAACACACAAUGACUUGGUAAUUUGGAGUGUCUUUAAUAUAAACACAUUUAUUCACAUUUAUUAAUUUUGAAUCUGUUUUCCGACAUGGUUUAGUCAAACUUUACAUGCCAUUGCUUAGGUGCUUGUUUUAGUCCAUAAAGUGACUUAACAAGUUUACACACCUUAUUUUCUUUUCCCGAAACCACAAAACCCUUAGGCUGUUCCAUGUAAAUUUCUUCCUCCAAGUCUCCAUUUAGAAAUGCGGUUUUCACAUCUAUUUGAUAGAUUUCAAGACCAUAUACUGUCGCCAAGGCAAUUAACAUUCGAAUCGACGUUAUCCUUGUUACUGGCGAGUAUGUAUCAAAGUAAUCAAGGCCUUCUUUUUGUUUGAAGCAAUUUACAAUGUCUUGCUUGUAUUUGUCAAGAGUAUCAUCCGCUUUUAUUUUCCUUUUGAAGAUCCAUUUAGAUCCUAAAGGCUUAUUUCCUGGAGAAAGAUCAACCAAUUCCCAUGUAUUGUUGCUUAAGAUUGAAUCAACCUCACUAUCGACUGCCUCUUUCCAAAAGGAUGAGUCCGAAGACGUCAUCACUUCUUUAAAUGUUUGAGGCUUAUUUUCUAAGAGAAAUGUUACAAAAUCUGAUCCAAACGAAGUUGACGUUCUUUGAUGUGUACUACGUUUUGGAUUCUCAUCAUUAUGUACAUUCUCACUUGGUUCAUCUCGAGGUCAUUUGGACCCUCCAAUAGACUGUUUAUGUCUAGUUUUAUACGGAUAAAUGUUUUCAAAGAAUUCAGCGUUAUUUAAUUUAAUUACCGUAUUUUCAUUAAUAUUUGGAUGUUUGAAUUUAUGAACCAAAAAUCGAUAUGCUUUACUACUUUUAGCGUAUCCUAUGAACACACAGUCCACUGUCUUAGGUCCUAUCUUAACCCUUUUAGGUAUAGGAACUUGGACCUUUACUAGACACCCCUACACUUUGAAAUAUUUCAAGUUAGGUUUGCUUCCUUUCCAUUUUUCAUAAGGAAUUGAUUGUGUCUUACUAUGGAGAACUCUAUUGAGUAUUUGGUUGGCUGUAAGGAUAGCCUCCCCCCACAAGCUUUGCGAUAAACCUGAACUUAUAAGUAAGACAUUCAUCAUUUCCUUCAAAGUUCGAUUUUUUCUUUCCACAAUUUCAUUAGAUUGAGGUGAAUACGGGGCCGUAGUUUGAUGGAUAAUUCCAUUCUCUACACAUAUUUCGGCGAAGGGAGAUUCAUAUUCUCCGCCCCUAUCACUUCUUAUAGUUUUGAUCUUUUUCUUUAAUUGAUUUUCAACUUCAGUUUUAUAUUGUCUAAACGCAUUUAUUGUUUCAUCCUUAUAGUAUGUAGACAUAGCAAUAUCUAGUGCAAUCGUCAAUGAAAUUUCUGAAAUACUUUUUCCCUCCACGUGAUGGUGUUGACUUCAUAUGACAAAUGUCAGUGUGGAUUAAGUCUAAGGGAUUGAAAUUCCUUUCAACGGACUUAUAUGGAUGCUUAGCAUACUUUGAUUCCACACAAGUUUGACACUUUGAUUUAUUGCACUCAAAGUUUGGCAAAACUUCUAAGUUAAUCAGUUUUCGUAAUGUUUUGUAAUUAACAUGGCCUAGUUGUUCAUGCCACAAAUUGGGAGAUUCAAGCAAGUAAAAAGAAUUUGAACUUUUAUAGAUUUCAACAUUCAUUACAUUCAUUUUAAAUAGGCCCUCAUUGAGGUAACAUUUUCCUACAUACACUUCUCCUUUACUAAGUACAAUUUUUUCAGAAACAAAUAUACAUUUGAAUCCGUUCUUGUCUAGAAGUGAAAUAGAAAUCAAGUUCUUUCGUAGCUUAGGAACAUACAAUACAUUGGUAAGUGUCAACACUUCGCCGGAAGUCAUCUUCAAGCACACUUUUCUAGUUCCUUCUACUUUAGCAGUAGCGAAGUUAGCCAUGUAGAUUGUUUCUUCUACUUGAGCCAGAGCGAACGUCGAAAACAAAUCCUUGUUAGCACAUACAUAGCGGGUGGCACCAGAAUCCAUCCACCAUUCGCGAGGAUUUCCCACCAAGUUGCAUUCGGAAAGCAUAUCACAUAGAUCAUCGCAUUCUUUGUUGGACUCAAUCAAAUUUGCUUGGUCCUUUUUUCUUGCCUUUCUUAGAGGCACGACAAUCCAUAGAUUUGUGGCCAAUCUUACCACAGUUGAAGCACUUUUCCUUGAAUUUCUUCUUGGGUUGAUUUCUUCCAUGUUCCAUUUUAUUUCUUUUCUUAGAAUUGUUUUGAUCAUCUUCUACAAUAUGUGCUCCAUUAAUUGUAGAAUUCCCUUUUGACCUUCUCUCGGCAGCCUUAUUAUCCUCUUUAAUACGUAGUCGAACAAUAAGAUUUUUGACAGUCAUCUCCUUGCCUUUGUGCUUCAAGUAGUUUUUGAAGUCUUUCCACAUAGGUGGUAUCUUCUCAAUUAUCGCUGCUACUUGAAAUGCAUCAUUCAUAAUCAAACCUACAAAACAGUUUAUGUGAUUACUAAGAACAUUUUCAAUUUGUUCAAUCAAGGUAUAUUUCAAAGAUAUACCUUCCGCUAGGAGAUCAUGGAUGAUUACUUGCAAUUCUUGCACUUGAGAGACAACUGACUUUCUAUCUAUUAUUUUAAAGUCCAGGAACCUUGCAAUGAAGAAUUUCUUAAUUCCCGCAUCCUCUGUCUUGUAUUUUCGUUCCAGUGCCACCCACAAUUCCUUUGAUGUCUUAGUUCCACUGUAAACAUUAUAGAGGUCGUCUUGAGACCACUCAAGAUAUAAUUUCUGUAAAGAAAGUCUGAGUAUUUUCAAGCCUCUACUAUUAUGAAACGCUCUUUGUCCGAGGUUCCCUCGGGCACCUCAGGAGCAUCCUCACUAGUGAACAUUUGAAGACAUAGAGUGGUGAGGUAAAAGAACAUCUUUUGCUGCCAUCUUUUGAAGUCAAUGCUCGUAAACUUUUCGGGCUUCACCGUAGGUGCCAUAGGUUGCGAAACAUUUGCUCGACUUGUCGUGGUAAUGGUAUUUGCCGCCAUAGUCGUAACAUCAUCCAUUUGACAAUCAUUCAUCAUUUUUCCUGUUACCACAAGAUAGUACCUUUAGUAUACCAAAAUACUUAUUAAAAAGUUGCAAUAACUUAAAACACCUCUUGUUUCUAGUUAACGAUGAAGUUUUUAUGACUUCCAAUCGCCAAUCGAGUGAUGUUUAACUUGUGAUGAAGAUUUUAUGUCUUCAAAUCACUAGUUAAGUUCAAACGGAGUAGAAAGCUUAAAGCUUUAAUCUCCAAAAACAAGCAAAACAUAUUCUGAAAAGAUUAUUCCUUAAGAUUGUUAUUUUCGGUAUGUAUUCGGGCACAAGAAUUUGUAUACAUGCAACACAAACUUCAACUCUAGUUCGAGUCUAAGACAAGAACACUUAUGAAGUUACCUAACACCUUCAACACUAGAUUAUGAAUAAUAUAUCUAACAAGUGUGUUUAUUUUCAGAAAAGAGAUGAAAUGGAAUUUUAAGGCCAAGUCCCCCAACUUCACAAAAUGUUCUUAAGGAAUAAUUCCCCUCAAUGUACCCGAAGUUACGGAAUCUUCCUCCCAGAAUAAAAUGGUCUUCAAUCCAAACAAUAGCGGUACCUCAAAUUGUUGGAUUCAACGAACUCACUCAACGAUUUGAUUGAUCACACAGAAUGUUUUUUAAGACAAGAAGAGAGUUCGUAUUUCAAAAAAUUCAUACCAAAACCUGUGGAUAAAUGCAGAUUUAUAUAGCCAUCAAGUGCCCCUUUCGAAAGGUGGAAAUGGUUCAUUCGAAAAGUUGUAUCCUUUGGAAGAGUCAUGUCUAUUCAUUCAAAACAUUGUGUCUUUUUCUGAAUAGACACAACUAUCUGAACAGUCACUCUUUUUCCAAAACAAUAUGUCUUUUCAUAAAAGGUUGUGUCCCUCCAUUUUCCAUUCACACCAAUUGAACCCAACAUAUUUUUCCUUGGCCUUUGGGGUUUUGUUUUAGUAUUUGAUAUUGGGGAUUCAUUUGGCUAUUGGGUUUAGAUGUAUAUAGUUGAUACGAUAUCUCUUGAAUACUUAGGACAAUAUUAGUUUAAGAUUCGAUGUAGUCAAGAUUUUACUUCACAAUUUCCUUUGAAAUUAAGUUCCCAAAACAAUUUUGAACCUGUGCAUAGAAUUUUCAAGUCUAAAAAAUGAUUUACAAUGAAAUUUUGGCCCCUUUUGGUGCAAUACUCUUAGGCCCCUCACAUUUAAAGUAUUUUUCUAUUUUUAAACAAACUAAUUUUUCUAAAUAUCAACUUACUCCUUAUUUUUCUACAAUAGCCUACUUUACUUUUCACUAUAUUACAUGCAUACUUUUUUUUAGGCUAGCAUAUUUUACUUUGCUUAUAAGUGUCCGCGUUUUCACAGUUUAUAAGAUUUUGAUUAAUUAACCUAAGUUUGGCCGGUUAAUCGUAGUUAUCGAAUCCUUUAGGGUGCCUAAUCCCUUCCCUUUAAGAUAAUUAGAACCUUUACCUAGAAUCAUGUAGGAUGAGUAGACCUUAAAAUGAAGUCUUUAAUUUCUUUUAAUUACUUAGUUUAUAAUAGGUGUCCUAAUUCACCGUAGAACUAAUUAGGUGGCGAUUUCCUUGAUUUAAUUAGAAGUUUUCCAAUAUGUCGUACCUCGGUGUGACCCGUGUUAAAAUGGGGUACAGCAAUGGUAACACUAUGAUGUGUUCAUAGUUCAUCCUGUAACAUUCAUAUUAACAUUCUUCUAUUUUUAUACUCUAUUAAAAGGACGCGUUGAUAGCCCAAGGUCGAACAAACAUAAGCAUGAAAAAUUAAAAUUUCCAGUAAACAAGCUCUAUUGAAACAUCUAGACAGAAGUAAGGGGAGUGGGAGUUCUUGAGAGCAUUUAGAAGUGAAGGGAGGGCAUGGAGUAACAAAUAUUACAUAAUAUUCAUCGCUUGUGCCCAAAAUACUCAUGAGAGAUUCCCUUCUACUCCACAAUCGUCGACGAGCAUAAUGCUUAAACCAACAAUAAUAGCGAGAUAAGCAUGAAACUGAAACAGUUAAAGAGGACGGAAGGAAGGAAAAAUUUAUGCAAGUUUUCGAUAAAAGGAAGAAGUAUAAGAUAACGUACUCUAUGCAAGCUUCGUCUCUAAAUUUAAUGUUUACAUCGACACUCUCUUAUUUCCACUUGUACUAGGCUAGUCGACUACCAAACAGUGAAUCGAGGUAAAGGAUCUUUAAUUCGAUAAUUGAUCAACUCAAGUAAUCGAACAGAAAUGGCAUAGCCUUUAAUUAACACUGUAAUAAGCACACAAACAUAUACCUUUGGGCAGAAUUGAAAAUGUAUUUAAAGACGCGACAAAAAAUAGGACUACGUGAAGCAUCUAUGGAUAAAGGAAAAGGCAAGAAUAAUGCAAAUUGUAAGCCAUUCAUUUUCCCAUUCAUAAUGAUCGUAAAAGAACCUUUUGCCUCAUACUAAUUAACGACUAAUCACACUAGCUUGAAAUGAUGUUUUAACCAUUAUAAGUUGUUACGAAAUGACCAUGUCAAACUGAAAAUUUAAACCAAACACAACUACUCGGCCAUACAUACAAUCCAACAACACUACCAACAAUUAAGUAAUACAAUUUGAUUAAAUAAAUUACGCAAGUAAAGAGGUAUUAUUGACCUUUUGUGGAGCAGUGAAUUAGGGCUCUUCUGUUAGAGAUUCGAACUAGCUCAAACUUUGAACUUAGAGAACAAAAAAGGGAGGAAAUAAAGGAUAUGAACUUUCUGAUCUUUAAUGCUAAUUUGAUAAUCCUUUUUUCUUGGUGCUUUCAUUGUGAAGAAGACUCCUCUUUAUAGGCAAAAGGGAUGCAACGACUUCUUUUAUAAUCUAAAAUUCAGAAUUCAAAACAAUGAAAAGGGGAGGAAAAAAAGAGCAAAAAGUCUUCAUUUUCAGAGCUUGAAUUGAUAGAGAAGACUAUUGUCGUUGGUGGCUCUGUAAAAGCCUAGAAAUUCGACAAAUUUAUCGUGAUUGAAGUGAUGGGAGCAGCUUUGGUUGAAUUUCAACUCGAAGAAGAAGAGGAGAUUUAGGGGUGUUUGCUGGUUAGGAUAAGGCUUUUUGGGUCAGGUUAGGGGUUUUCUAGUUGGGCUGGGCAGCUUGGUUAUUGUUGGGCCGAAAAGGGGUAUUUAAGAAUUGGGUAGUGGAUUAGGCUGG